UGUUUGAGUAUCUUAGACAUCAAAAUGGUCUUGUUCUUUAACACUCGUUCUUGUUUAUCCAAUAUGCCCACUAGUACUUCAUCAUAAGAUAGGUCUUUCUUGAUAGGAAUAUCUCAUGUUGAAGCACAUGAGAUAGAUCAGGGUGAUACUAGCAUAGCAUUGACACAUGAAAGACAUCAUGGAUAUUAGCUAAUUCUGGUGGUGAUUCUAGCCUGUACGUAGUAGUCCCUACUCUUUCUAAUAUCUUGAACGGUCCAAUAUAGCGACGACUCAAUUUUCCUUUCUUUUUAAAUCUCAUAAUGCCCUUGAUUAGUUAUACUUUUAAGAACACGUGAUCACUUGUCUCGAACUCCAAGCAUCUUUUAUCAUCAUUUGCAUAACUCAUUUGUUUG
This 392-nucleotide long non-coding RNA is filed under the name Carica papaya (papaya). RNAcentral describes it as "long non-coding RNA (CPAP_LNC015151)". The record is from RNAcentral. Lineage: Eukaryota; Viridiplantae; Streptophyta; Magnoliopsida; Brassicales; Caricaceae.